Molecule: ribosomal RNA, 238 nt
Filed under: uncultured bacterium
Lineage: Bacteria
Description: partial 16S ribosomal RNA
Rfam family: Bacterial small subunit ribosomal RNA
Source: RNAcentral
CCGGCGCGACGGUGAGUAACGCGUAUGCAACUACUAUCAGGAGGGGAUAACCCGGCGAAAGUCGGACUAAUACCGCAUGAAGCAGGGGCCCCGCAUGGGGAUAUUUGCUAAAGAUUCAUCGCUGAUAGAUAGGCAUGCGUUCCAUUAGGCAGUUGGCGGGGUAACGGCCCACCAAACCGACGAUGGAUAGGGGUUCUGAGAGGAAGGUCCCCCACAUUGGUACUGAGACACGGACCAA